RNAcentral lists this ribosomal RNA (749 nucleotides) under uncultured organism. Its description in RNAcentral is "bacterial SSU rRNA". It matches the Rfam family "Bacterial small subunit ribosomal RNA", at positions 48 to 794 of the family's 1533-position model. The record is from RNAcentral.
CUAACACAUGCAAGUCGAGCGGGUAUGUUCUAAUUGCUGAACACACGACCGGCGCACGGGUGAGUAACGCGUUUGCAAUUUACCUCUAACUGGAAGAUAGCCCGAAGAGAUUCGGAUUAAUACUCCAUAAUAUUAGGAAUUCGCAUGAUUUCCUAAUUAAAGCUCCGGCGGUUAGAGAUGAGCAUGCGUGUCAUUAGCUAGUUGGUAAGGUAACGGCUUACCAAGGCGACGAUGACUAGGGGGUCUGAGAGGAUGGUCCCCCACACUGGUACUGAGACACGGACCAGACUCCUACGGGAGGCAGCAGUGAGGAAUAUUGGGCAAUGGGCGCAAGCCUGACCCAGCCAUGCCGCGUGCAGGAUGACUGCCCUAUGGGUUGUAAACUGCUUUUAUACGGGAAGAAUGGUUCCUACGUGUAGGGAUUUGACGGUACCGUAAGAAUAAGCAUCGGCUAACUCCGUGCCAGCAGCCGCGGUAAUACGGAGGAUGCAAGCGUUAUCCGGAUUCAUUGGGUUUAAAGGGUGCGCAGGCGGAAUAUUAAGUCAGUGGUGAAAUCCUGCAGCUUAACUGUAGAACUGCCAUUGAUACUGAUAUUCUUGAAUAUAGUUGAGGUGGGCGGAAUGUGUAAUGUAGCGGUGAAAUGCUCAGAUAUUACACAGAACACCGAUUGCGAAGGCAGCUCACUAAACUAGUAUUGACGCUGAGGCACGAAAGCGUGGGGAGCGAACAGGAUUAGAUACCCUGGUAGU